This 253-nucleotide ribosomal RNA is filed under the name uncultured bacterium. Its description in RNAcentral is "partial 16S ribosomal RNA". It matches the Rfam family "Bacterial small subunit ribosomal RNA", at positions 524 to 776 of the family's 1533-position model. The record is from RNAcentral.
UACAGAGGCCCCAAGCGUUACUGAGAAUCACUGGGCUUAAAGGGUGCGUAGGUGGCGCGUUAAGUCCGUUGUGAAAUCCCUGGGCUCAACCCAGGAAUUGCUUCGGAUACUGGCGUGCUUGAGGCUAGUAGGGGUCACUGGAACUGACGGUGGAGCGGUGAAAUGCGUAGAUAUCGUCAGGAACGCCGAUGGUGAAGACAGGUGACUGGGCUAGUUCUGACACUGAGGCACGAAAGCGUGGGGAGCGAACGGG